This 218-nucleotide ribosomal RNA is filed under the name Glomeromycotina sp. Its description in RNAcentral is "partial small subunit ribosomal RNA". The stretch from base 93 to 218 matches the Rfam family "Eukaryotic small subunit ribosomal RNA", at positions 738 to 864 of the family's 1831-position model. The record is from RNAcentral. Lineage: Eukaryota; Fungi; Glomeromycota.
GGGUCUAUCCAUUGGUCGGGCUUUACGGUCCGUACUGGUUCGAUGGGUUCCUACCUUCUGAAUAACCGGCAUGCCAUUCAGUUGGUGCGCCGGGGAAGCAGAGCUAUUACCUUGAAAAAAUUAGAGUGCUUAAAGCAGGCUAUUGCUUGAAUAGAUUAGCAUGGAAUAAUAAAAUAGGACGGCAUGGCUCUAUUUUGUUGGUUUCUAGGAUCACCGUA